Molecule: unclassified non-coding RNA, 328 nt
Filed under: Bombus terrestris (buff-tailed bumblebee)
Lineage: Eukaryota; Metazoa; Arthropoda; Insecta; Hymenoptera; Apidae
Description: misc RNA ENSBTSG00005034487.1
Source: RNAcentral
CGCAUCAAUAAGAGGCGUAACCAUGUUUUAAAAGAGAACGUCAAUCGUAUACCACUAUCGUACCUUCCUACAAACUUCCCGAGACCACCUAAAAGCGCGUAAUGAUAAGGUGGAAAGAGAAAAAUAAAUAGAAAAAGAGGGACAUACAUGGGGAUCUCGGUUUCGAAAUUCAACUUUCGAAGUCAAUCAGAUAAAAACCGGUGGCACACACGUAUGUGCAUCCGAUGGCUCGAUUGCACGACUGUUAUUCGUGUUCAACGACCGCUAUGCGAGGAAUAUCGCGAAAGACCCAGGAUAUCGCGUGCUCGUCAACUUUUCUUAACCGAUC